UACGGGGGGGGUAAGCGUUGUUCGGAAUUACUGGGCGUAAAGGGCUCGUAGGCGGCCAACUAAGUCAGACGUGAAAUCCCUCAGCUUAACUGGGGAACUGCGUCUGAUACUGGAUGGCUUGGAUCCGGAAGAGGGAUGCGGAAUUCCAGGUGUAGCGGUGAAAUGCGCAGAUAUCAGGAGGAACACCGGUGGCGAAGGCGGAUCUCUGGGCCAUUACUGACGCUGAGGAGCGAAAGCGUGGGGAGCGAACAGG
This 253-nucleotide ribosomal RNA is filed under the name uncultured bacterium. RNAcentral describes it as "partial 16S ribosomal RNA". It matches the Rfam family "Bacterial small subunit ribosomal RNA", at positions 524 to 776 of the family's 1533-position model. The record is from RNAcentral.